CAGUCGCCGCGGUAAAACGGAGGAUCCAAGCGUUAUCCGGAUUUAUUGGGUUUAAAGGGUGCGUAGGCGGCCUGUUAAGUCAGGGGUGAAAGACGGUAGCUUAACUAUCGCAGUGCCCUUGAUACUGAUGGGCUUGAAUGUACUAGAGGUAGGCGGAAUGUGACAAGUAGCGGUGAAAUGCAUAGAUAUGUCACAGAACACCAAUUGCGAAGGCAGCUUACUAUGGUAUGAUUGACGCUGAGGCACGAAAGUGUGGGGAUCAAACAGGAUUAGAUACCCCGGUAGUCCCUGUCUCUUAUAA
Molecule: ribosomal RNA, 301 nt
Filed under: uncultured bacterium
Lineage: Bacteria
Description: partial 16S ribosomal RNA
Rfam family: Bacterial small subunit ribosomal RNA
Source: RNAcentral